RNAcentral lists this ribosomal RNA (199 nucleotides) under uncultured bacterium. RNAcentral's name for it is "partial 16S ribosomal RNA". It matches the Rfam family "Bacterial small subunit ribosomal RNA", at positions 328 to 539 of the family's 1533-position model. The record is from RNAcentral.
ACGCUCGACACCUACUGGAGGCAGCAGUCGGGAAUAUUGCGCAAUGGAGGAAACUCUGACGCAGUGACGCCGCGUAUAGGAAGAAGGUUUUCGGAUUGUAAACUAUUGUCGUUAGGGAAGAAAAAGGACAGUACCUAAGGAGGAAGCUCCGGCUAACUACGUGUCAGCAGCCGCGGUAAUCUGAGCGGGCUGGCAAGGC